Molecule: long non-coding RNA, 2076 nt
Organism: Bos taurus (domestic cattle)
Lineage: Eukaryota; Metazoa; Chordata; Mammalia; Artiodactyla; Bovidae
Source: Ensembl
ACUCUACUACAAGAGGAGCCACAAUGAGGCCAGGCAUGGCAACUAUAGAGUAACCCCCGCCCCCUGCAACUAGCGAAAAGCGCGCGCAGCAAUAAAAGACGCAGCAUAGUCAAAUAAAAAAAUAUUUUUAAAGAAACUGUGUUGUGUCCCAUCACCAAUACUACAUAGAAUAGAAAUGAAAAGCCACUAUUAUGUAAUCUUUAACUUGCAAAGAGAUUCUCUGGAUGAGAGGAUGUUAUCAGAGUUACAUUGUGCUGCUUUAAAGGUAGAGAAUACUUAUUGUUCCCCAAAGCAGUCAUAUACAUGGAUGUCCCUUGUGUGUGGUUUGGAGUCUGGACCUUAGCCUUGUGCCUCUCAUGAAGGGAUCAAAGCCUGCGCAGAGGCAGUCUCAAGUCUGAACACACUCAGUUCCCCCAUUCCUUAUUUUUCUUAUGUGGUCUGGAUUUCCAGGAGGGUGAUGACUAACAGUACUGCUAGAUUUAUGUAAAAGUACAGGACACUAGCUAUAUUCCAAGUUCAAACAAUUUUAGUAUAGGGGACAUACAUAUACUAAAAAAUUAUUCGUUUAUCGGAAACUCGAAUUAGACGUUCUGUGAAUCUUAAUUGGCAGCCCCUGCUUAUUUUUUCUUCGCACCGAUUUAACUUCACAGAAAAGUCUCAAAAUGGGAGGCAAAAGAAAUUCGCCUGGCCCCAAAGAAGAUGGAGCUCAGGGUAGUCGGCCUUUUCCCAAACUUGGCCUUUAAAAAAAAAAAAACCCACCCACAAGUCUCAGGAGCCUGCGCAUUAAAGCGGGCAGUGCAGCAGCUUUCCCGCCGGUUUUCUGCGGAAUGUGGCGCAGCGGCCACGCCGCGGGGUGGAGCGCAUGUUGCGGUGUCCUUGCCGGAUGCGAAAGGAGGUGCCAGAAACUUUAAACCUCAGCCAGAGUACAACGUGUCCACUUAGACGGCGGCAUGCGUGAUCCAGCAGUCAGUUAUUCUGUGCAGGAGGGAGCAAGGGCUUUAAAUCAGGUGGCCAGAGGGUUAUUUCUCUGCUGUUUAACAGCUGUAUGACCUCAGAAAGGUGCUGCUACUAGUGAAAUGACAAACCAAAAGCAGGGAGAGGGAAGUCAGCCAUGGGCCAGGCUGGCCCACUGCCGGAGCGCUGGUUGGAGUGGUCUCUUGUUCCUGCCUCGUCGUCUCUCCUCUGCCCGGCCUCUGUCUGGGGUUAUUCCCCACACCCCCAUGUUGCCGCUGCUUCUCUUUUCACCAGCGGUCUUCUCUCCAGCUCCCCUCUUCUCUGAUGGGAGCUGGCACUGGCCCAGGUUAGCAAGAGGAAAAUGGACAUUCCUCCUAGUUUCCUCCCUCCUGUCCACACCUGCAUAGUCCCUGGGGAAGAGUCUUGACUGAAAGUGAGCAAAGAAAGGAGGAGUAGACAGGAAAAAAAGACGCCUGAAAACAGUCAGGCUGGACAUACUUAAAGGGAAGGGAGACAAACAGGAGAUGCCACCUCAUCUCAUUGACUUAGCUGUUGCCAUUUUCUUUAGCAAAGUUCCAGUGUACUGUCCACCAGGCCUGAGUGCAACUGUUAUUCCUGUGUUCCCAGUGGUACAGCAGACCUUUCUCCAUUUCUCCAAAUGGUUAACUGCACACUUAGAGCUCUUGGCAGAGUUUGGGAUGCAGAGUUAAGUACUUGGGGUGUACCUAGCCCCAUCACCAUCUGUGAUCUGUACAAAAUUUGAUAUACGCUUUAGGCUAGUCAAAUACUCAUUGGUCCUCUACUGUGCAUUUGGCAGUGCACUAGGUGUAGGAAGUGGAGGUGGGCAGCAAGGGCUAGUGAACCUGGCUUUCUGGUGGAGAAAUGGGAUUUGGGGAUUAUAAUAAGCAGUCUAUUUCCUUGUCACAGCAUAUGAGCAAUUUACUGAAAGUGUUGUCCUAAAGACAUGAGCUUAUCUAGACAAAAACAAAAAAAUUAAAAUUCCUCCCCUAAAGGUUGUUCAGUGACUCUCUGUACUUCCAAGAGGACAAUAAGCUCUUUCUUUGGAAUCUGGGAGGUGCUUCCAGGGCAUGAGAAAGAAUGCUCUACUCUGCGGCCUUUGAU